This is a non-coding RNA of Odocoileus virginianus texanus, 2693 nucleotides long. Lineage: Eukaryota; Metazoa; Chordata; Mammalia; Artiodactyla; Cervidae. The record is from RefSeq and is a predicted model, not a curated record.
AGUGACUGAGCUGAACUGAACACAGUAGUGGAGAGAAUUAUCAUUUAUCUAGCCAUUCUCUUACUGCUGUACAUUUAGCUUAAUUCUGAUUUUAUUCUUAUGCUGCUGCUGGGUUAUGGGAGCCAGUUGCAUUUUUUGCACACACAAAAAAUUGCUGUGCAGUAUUUAAAAUCUGUCCACUGGGGCUUUGCACGGAACCAAAUGUCUCCCUGAGGAUCUCCAGCUAUUCCUGCAUCUCUUCUUUAGCCAGAGAGAAAAUCUUCUCCCUUGCCCCCUGCCAGUCCCCAGAGAGCUGGAAACAACAGCCAUGGCCCCUGGAGUCUUUUCUCUUUCACACUUGGGUUUUUCUACCCUUACUCAAAAGGUGUGUUUUUCAAUGCCUCCUCCUGUCUCUGGUGGCUGUUGUGAUAAGUAAACUUUGGAAUCCAGAGGCCUUGGUUCAGAUCCUGGUGUUUCUGGGAAAUUGACUUAGCCUCUCUGUGCCUAGUUUCAUCCUUUGUAAAACAGAGAUAACAGUGGCAUGUGUAGCACUUCCAUGAGGACCAAGUAAACCAACAUGUGCAAUGUGCACGAUGCUGGUAACAAUCCCAAGAAUGUUAUCAUCCUGGGGUCUCUUGUCUGCGUUAGCUCCAGACCCACCUCUGAGGGCAGAAGGCCUAUGUUCCCUGUGGGCUGCCUGGGAUGGCUCCAGCCUUUGCGACAGCUUCAGCCCACUGUCCACUGAUUUCCCAGAGGAGGCUGCUGCCUGGGAAGGCAGCAGACGAUCAGAUUUCUGCUGCGCUCGGCCCUGUCGGUUCUGGAUCGAGGCCCACGGGGAGGGAAGGAGGUCAGCCUGACCCUCUGCUUGGUGAUGGUGGCCAGGAACCUGGUAAUGUAACCCCAUACCUCGGGCAGAUUUACCAACUCUCAAUGGGGCCUGUUGUGGCCAGGGAUUUGAUCUCUCUUGGCCUGCAGGGUGAGCAGGAGAAGAAAGCCGCUCGGGGCCAAGCUCUCCCUUGAGAGCCCUGGGGCCCCUCUGUACCACACUGGCUGGUCCAGGCCUGGGUUUACCUUUCAGCCCCUGGGGUAAAUCUCUGCAGCUCAUCAUCUAGUUAGUGCUGGAAAGGAUGGCCCCUUUGUUCUUUUUCUCACACCUCCUUCCCUCUUCCCUCCUUUUAGGUUCAAAACCACCUUUAUGCCACCAUCUAAACAGCUCUGCACAACCACCUUCUGAAGUAGGCAACCUGGUCAAGGCCAUUUUGCAGAUGUGCAAACAGAGGCCCAGAGAUGUCAAGUGACUUUCCCAAGGCCGCACAGUUAGGCGCUGGCCGGGUUAAAGGAAUAUACCCGGGCCAACUGGCUCCUUGUUCAGUUUUUUUUCAUGAGGCCACCCUGUGUGAUAGUUUUGGCAGAAGGUGCCCAGUGGGGCAGCCCUGCCUGUCCUCUUGCCCUCUGGUCCAUGGCAAGUGUGGUCAGUGAGCACAGAGGGUUGGAAGGCGAAGCACCAGCGCUGGCCCGGGGCCUGGCCUUUACCCAGCACCAGCCACAAACGCUCUCAGCAACCAGAGAUGGCAGGACAGAAAGUGGCUGCUUCAGCUGAGGCCACGUGCCCCUGCGGGGGGGGGAGAGCUUUCUCUUUGGGCCUGCCCUGUGGUGUGGGCAGGGGUCUGCAGCCUCCCUGGGCAGCCUGGGUGCUUCUCCGGGGAGGUGGGAGAGCAGCCAUCAUGCGGCGCAUUUUAAGACUGGAGGAAGGGAAGCUCCGAAAGGCGCAGGGGGCUGGUCUGAGCUGGCGGCUGGCAGACGGGAAACUUGAACCCACUCCCUGAUUCUCCCCGUAGACCUUCACCAGUCACGCUGCCGGUCACACCAAGGACAGUGAGUGGCCCAGCUUUGAGUUAAGAGCACAGUUGAGUGUCAGAAGAGGAAUAUGGGCUGGGUCCUGUUCAUGUGUAUCGAGGACUUUCUGUGCGCCAGGUGCUAUGCUGUCUUGACUCAUAAUAUCUCACUGAAUCCUCGGAAUAAUCUCAGGAGGCAGACACCAGUAUUAUCUCCAUGUAGUGGGCAAACAGGCACAAAGAAGUGACUUCCCGUGGUCACAUGGCGGGUGGGGGCGAAGCUGAGACUGGAAUCCCAGCAGAGUGGCUCAGAGUUGCCCGUUGUAUCACGACAAGGCCUCUCACAGCCGGAAGAGCGACACCCGCCUGUCUUCUCCUGGUACCUGGCCAUGGAGGGCCUCGGGGGACUCAGGAGACACCAGGAUCCAUCCCAGGAUCUGCCGCAGAUCUGCUGUGUGGCCUUGAGGGUGUGAUUUAUGCCGUAGGGCCCAGACUGGCAUUGUCUCAACCCCUUUUGAAGACACUAGGCUACCGGGGACUCUCAGCCUUGCCAGUUGGGGGACAACUGGACUCGGAAUCGAGGACCAGGUUCUGGUCCCAAACAGUCCUGGGACGGUGAGAAGCACAUGGCAGGGCGAGGUGGGGCUCGCCAGGGAACUCCACCACUGCACUCCCCCGGGUGGGCCCUGGGAAGCUGGGGUUUGGCAGACAGUACCCCCACAUGGGAGGCAAGCAGUGAUUCUGGAGGCUGCAAGAUCUGGGUUUGAAUACGAGCUUUCCCACUCACCUCUGGCCACCCACCUGGCCUUUCUGAGCCUCAGUUUCCUCACUGGUGAAACAGGAGGUGACGUGGUCCCCCUAAGUUGAGGUAAGGAUGAA